AGCGCAGGCGGGAAACUAAGCGGAUCUUAAAAGUGCGGGGCUCAACCCCGUGAUGGGGUCCGAACUGGUUUUCUUGAGUGCAGGAGAGGAAAGCGGAAUUCCCAGUGUAGCGGUGAAAUGCGUAGAUAUUGGGAAGAACACCAGUGGCGAAGGCGGCUUUCUGGACUGUAACUGACGCUGAGGCUCGAAAGCUAGGGUAGCGAAGG
RNAcentral lists this ribosomal RNA (206 nucleotides) under uncultured bacterium. Its description in RNAcentral is "partial 16S ribosomal RNA". It matches the Rfam family "Bacterial small subunit ribosomal RNA", at positions 568 to 774 of the family's 1533-position model. The record is from RNAcentral.